AACGCACCUUGCGCCCUUUGGUAUUCCGAAGGGCAUGCCUGUUUGAGUGUCAUUAAAUUCUCAACUUCAAAUUUCUAUUUUGAAGCUUGGAUGUUGGAGGCUUUGCAGACAUUUAUAUUUGCCAGCUCCUCUUAAAUGCAUUAGCAGAACUUGUAUGUUCGGCUCUGGUUUGAUAAUACUAUCUAUGCCAUUGCUGAAAGGUCACUGUUCAGCUUCUAAUGGUCCAUUGUAUUGGACUGUCUCUUUGGGGGCAUCACCUUUUGACUUGACCUCAAAUCAGGUAGGACUACCCGCUGAACUUAA
Molecule: unclassified non-coding RNA, 303 nt
Filed under: uncultured Ramariopsis
Lineage: Eukaryota; Fungi; Basidiomycota; Agaricomycetes; Agaricales; Clavariaceae
Description: sequence contains ITS2
Rfam family: 5.8S ribosomal RNA (bases 1-52)
Source: RNAcentral